This is a small nuclear RNA of Mesoplodon densirostris (Blainville's beaked whale), 104 nucleotides long. NCBI's taxonomy places the organism in Eukaryota, Metazoa, Chordata, Mammalia, Artiodactyla, Ziphiidae. The record is from RefSeq and is a predicted model, not a curated record.
AUGGCUUCUGCAACACAUAUACUAAAAUUGGAACGACACAGAGAAGAUUAGCAUGACUCCUGUGCAAGAAUGACACACAAAUUUGUGAAGUGUUCUAUAUUUUU